This 259-nucleotide long non-coding RNA is filed under the name Monodelphis domestica (gray short-tailed opossum). RNAcentral describes it as "lncRNA (ENSMODG00000045186.1)". Lineage: Eukaryota; Metazoa; Chordata; Mammalia; Didelphimorphia; Didelphidae. The record is from RNAcentral.
CCCACACCAGGAAGUGGGGGAGGAACCCCUCGGUCACUCUGGGAGAGGCAGUUCCGGGAGCCACAACACUUCAAAACCUACAAGUCACAGAUUAAAAUAUGUGCUCUAUGCCUUUCACCAUGAAGGACCCAAAGUAAAAUCACCUGAGUUGAUGGUAUCCAUUUGGGUAGAAAUUGCUAUGGAAGAAGCACAAGGUCAAAAAGAGGUAAAAUGGACUGCCUUGAGAAACUGUGGAUUUCCCUUCCUUCAAGACAAGUGA